Molecule: unclassified non-coding RNA, 776 nt
Filed under: Hevea brasiliensis (rubber tree)
Lineage: Eukaryota; Viridiplantae; Streptophyta; Magnoliopsida; Malpighiales; Euphorbiaceae
Source: RNAcentral
UAAGUGAACUAUGGGGGCAAAAUUGAUCAAUUUAGUAGGGGCAACGUUAGAAAUAACCUAAUUAUAUAAAGUAUUGCCAAGGGGCAGUGGGGGCAAAUGCCUCUUUGUGCCCAUGGUAGAUCUGCCCUGAAUCUGAAAUAUUAAUGGCAUUUUUAUGCUGUUACUCAAGAAUGAGUGAAUAAGUUGACCUUGUGCCAGCUGAAAGGUGCGGCCCAUCCAUAUAAUUGGAGGGAUUUAUGUUGCUUCAUUGAAAUUCUCAAAAUAGACUAAAAUUGAUGGAUCCUGAUGGUGCGCCAUCCCUGUCCUGUUACCACUUAAGGAAGUUAAUGUUUGUUAUUUUUUUUUUCUCUGUUUGAUGCUUUACAUGAAUUUGCAUAUAUUGCAUUUUUAAUUUAAAUGUUAUUUUCAAGAUGUAUUGUAUUUCCAGUAUAUUUCUCUGCUGUAUUAUUUCCCAAUUCCCAUCCAUUAUUAAGCCAGGCCCUCUCCAUUAUGGGCCUUUCAAUCUGAGUCUGAGAUGCUCUCCAUUUAGAAGCCACCUGAUUUGGGAUAUGCAUAUGCCACUAUAGUUUACUAGUUAAUUUGCCAAUGCAGUCAUGAUUCAUAUCAUCUCAGGUAACCUAGAAUAAAUAUAGAAUUGGGAUCAUGCUAGACUAUUAUAAUGCUGUUUCAACUUUAAUACUUGAGAAUUGUACAGGCUAACGUUAUUUUACCUUUUCAAACAAUUUUUCAGGUUGCUUAAGAGGUUGGAUUUUCCAGACAUGAAGUUUAGCUUGUAC